Lontra canadensis (Northern American river otter) is the source of this 203-nucleotide long non-coding RNA. RefSeq lists it as uncharacterized. The transcript is spliced from 2 exons. The record is from RefSeq and is a predicted model, not a curated record. Lineage: Eukaryota; Metazoa; Chordata; Mammalia; Carnivora; Mustelidae.
GCCCGCAGGGCUGUCAGGCGGCUCAGCGUAAUCAGGGCUAAUGACGGCGGCCGGGCGCUCCGCGGGACAAUGCGCGGGGCCGCGGGGUUUUGUCGGCCUGAAAGGCUAAUAGGCUUUUAACUCUGUCUGGGGCUGCUUGUCAUCUAUAUGAAGUUCUCCAGAGGCAUCUUAGCCCAUCCUACAAUUCAGGAUAACCUGAGAUG